CUACGGGUUGCUCCAGUGGGGAAUAUUGGGCAAUGGGCGAAAGCCUGACCCAGCAACGCCGCGUGAAGGAAGAAGGUUUUCGGAUCGUAAACUUCUAUCCCGGGUGAAGAUAAUGACGGUAGCCCGGAAGGAAGCCCCGGCUAACUACGUGCCAGCAGCCGCGGUAAUACGUAGGGGGCAAGCGUUGUUCGGAAUGAUUGGGCGUAAAGGGCGCGUAGGCGGCCUUUUAAGUCCGGUGUGAAAGUCCUGCUUUUAAGGUGGGAAUUGCAUUGGAAACUGGAAGGCUUGAGUGCAGGAGAGGUAAGUGGAAUUCCCGGUGUAGCGGUGAAAUGCGUAGAGAUCGGGAGGAACACCAGUGGCGAAGGCGACUUACUGGACUGUAACUGACGCUGAGGCGCGAAAGUGUGGGGAGCAAACAGGAUUAGAUACCCCCGUAGUC
RNAcentral lists this ribosomal RNA (439 nucleotides) under uncultured bacterium. Its description in RNAcentral is "partial 16S ribosomal RNA". It matches the Rfam family "Bacterial small subunit ribosomal RNA", at positions 339 to 795 of the family's 1533-position model. The record is from RNAcentral.